UACAGAGGUCUCAACCGUUGCUCGGAUUUAUUGGGCGUAAAGAGCGUGUAGGCGGCCGCACAGGUCCGUUGUGAAAACUGGAGGCUUAACCUUCAGACGUCGAUGGAAACCGUGCGGCUAGAGUCCGGAAGAGGAGAAUGGAAUUCCUGGUGUAGCGGUGAAAUGCGCAGAUAUCAGGAAGAACACCCGUGGCUAAGGCGGUUCUCUAGUACGGUACUGACGCUGAGACGCGAAAGCGUGGGGAGCGAACAGG
RNAcentral lists this ribosomal RNA (253 nucleotides) under uncultured bacterium. Its description in RNAcentral is "partial 16S ribosomal RNA". It matches the Rfam family "Bacterial small subunit ribosomal RNA", at positions 524 to 776 of the family's 1533-position model. The record is from RNAcentral.